AUGGCGUCGGAGAUCGAGGUCCUCGAGGACACGACCGCCGCCGCGGCCGGCGGGGCGGCCGCCGCGGGGGAGGCGGAGGCGGCGGAGGAGGAGUCGCUCAAGGACGACGUCUGCACGGGCGCCGCGUACGGGGACCUCGAGAAGCUGCACCGCCUCGUCGAGCUGGAGGGCCGGUCGGUGACGGAGCCCGACGGCCUCGGCUACCACGCGCUCCAGUGGGCCGCCCUCAACAACCGCGUCGCCGCCGCCCAGUACAUCCUCGAGCAUGGAGCAGAUGUAAAUGCUAUAGACCAUACAGGGCAAACAGCGCUUCACUGGAGUGCAGUGCGUGGUCAUAUUCAAGUUGCAGAACUACUUCUGAAAGAAGGAGCUAAGGUUGAUGCUGCUGAUUUAUAUGGAUAUCAGACCACACAUGUUGCAGCACAGUAUGGUCAGACAGCAUUUCUUUAUCACAUUAUUUCAAAAUGGAAUGCUGAUCCUGAUGUCCCUGACAAUGAUGGCAGAAGUCCUCUUCACUGGGCUGCUUAUAAGGGAUUUGCAGACUCCAUACGCCUCCUUUUGUUUUUGGGUGCUUAUAGGGGGCGGCAAGAUAAAGAAGGUUGUACUCCUUUACAUUGGGCUGCUAUUCGGGGGAAUAUGGAGUCAUGCACUGUGUUAGUUCAGGUUGGUAAGAAGGAGGACCUUAUGGUGCAAGACAAUACUGGGUUAACUCCGGCCCAACUUGCUGCUGAUAAGAGUCACCGGCAAGUUGCAUUUUACCUUGGGAAUGCUAGAAAAGUGCAUGAAAGAGGAUGUGGUGGGAACAAUUAUUUUGGGAAACUAUCAAAAUUAGGACUCGCCCCUGUGCUUUGGUGUAUUAUCAUUGGCUUAAUUGUUGCAUAUAUACAUUCAGUUAUCGCAGGACAAUACAACUCGAAUAUGACAUUACUAUUUGGUUUCUUUUCAUGGUUGGGAGUUUUCCUUGCAAUUGCUGGACUAGUUAUGUUUUAUAGAUGUAGCAGGAAAGAUCCUGGUUACAUCAACAAGAAUAUAAGAGACUCGCAAACUCAAAGAGAUGAUGAACCUUUGUUGAAGAGGGGUCUAGAUAACCCAGAACUUCUGGCUGGCAAUUGGUCUCAACUAUGUAUUACUUGCAAAAUUGUGAGGCCCAUACGCUCAAAACACUGCUCUACAUGUGAUCGCUGUGUUGAGCAAUUUGAUCAUCACUGCCCUUGGGUUUCAAAUUGCAUCGGAAAGAAGAACAAAUGGGAGUUCUUUAUGUUUCUUAUCCUAGAAGUUUCUGCGAUGAUCAUUACUGCUGCAACGGCUGUCAUAAGAGUCGCAGGUGAUCCAGGCUCUCCAGCAUCGUUUGGUGGAUGGCUUAACUAUUCAGCUACGAACCAUCCUUGGGUGGUGUCUUUUGUUAUAAUGGAUCUCUUCCUUUUCUUCGGCGUUAUAACUCUAACAGUAGUUCAAGCAUCACAGAUAUCCGGGAAUAUAACAACAAAUGAGAUGGCAAAUGCCAUGAGGUACAGUUAUCUCAGAGGCCCGGGUGGUCGGUUCAGAAAUCCAUUUGAUCACGGGGUGAGGAAGAAUUGUUCUGACUUCUUCCUGAAGGGGUACAAUGAGGAUAUUGAGAAGGUAGAACAGACGUCACAUCCUGACGAGGAAAUGGCAAUUAUGCACAUGACAAGAAGUGCAGUCUCGCAGAACGGUGAGAGUGUGCCACUUCAUGCUAAUGGUGCUGACCAUGUUUGUGCUGACUCACAAACCAACUCAAAAUCGCAUCGCCAAGUUAGUUCGUCUAAAUGUUGUGAUCACAGUAAGAAGACUGACAAAACCCCUUUGGGCCUAGGGUUGGGCCUUGGACGAAACAAUCCCUCUAGCCGUUAUGCACGGAAUCUUCUCCCCUUGUGA
Molecule: ribosomal RNA, 1896 nt
Filed under: Triticum aestivum (bread wheat)
Lineage: Eukaryota; Viridiplantae; Streptophyta; Magnoliopsida; Poales; Poaceae
Description: partial small subunit ribosomal RNA
Source: RNAcentral